CCUACGGGAGGCAGCAGUGGGGAAUCUUGCGCAAUGGGCGAAAGCCUGACGCAGCCAUGCCGCGUGAAUGAUGAAGGUCUUAGGAUUGUAAAAUUCUUUCACCGGGGACGAUAAUGACGGUACCCGGAGAAGAAGCCCCGGCUAACUUCGUGCCAGCAGCCGCGGUAAUACGAAGGGGGCUAGCGUUGCUCGGAAUUACUGGGCGUAAAGGGAGCGUAGGCGGAUAGUUUAGUCAGAGGUGAAAGCCCAGGGCUCAACCUUGGAAUUGCCUUUGAUACUGGCUAUCUUGAGUAUGGGAGAGGUUAGCGGAACUCCGAGUGUAGAGGUGAAAUUCGUAGAUAUUCGGAAGAACACCAGUGGCGAAGGCGGCUAACUGGCCCAUUACUGACGCUGAGGCUCGAAAGCGUGGGGAGCAAACAGGAUUAGAUACCCUGGUAGUCCACGCCGUAAACGAUGAGUGCUAGUUGUCGGCAUGCAUGCAUGUCGGUGACGCAGCUAACGACAUUAAGACACCUCCGCCGUCGGGGAGGUACGGUCGGCGAACGAAUUAAAACGUUAAAAGGUAAAGUUAGACGGACGUGAGACGUCGCCGACGGACGACGACGAGGGAGGAGG
This 615-nucleotide ribosomal RNA is filed under the name uncultured bacterium. Its description in RNAcentral is "bacterial SSU rRNA". The stretch from base 1 to 520 matches the Rfam family "Bacterial small subunit ribosomal RNA", at positions 338 to 873 of the family's 1533-position model. The record is from RNAcentral.